UCCCGCCCGCUUUUCAAAUCGGAUUUGCAUAGCCAGGCCCCCUCGCCACGCCGAGCCUGCAGCGCCGUCUCAUUGGUUUGCUCUUUCGGCCGGGCCUUCCAAUCGCGAGGGGCUUCGGGACUUUGCCGGCUCCUCAUUGGGCUGCGGAGGCGCGGGGUUGCCCUGUUUUGCAUAGUGCUUGUCCAUUGGCUGUGGCUUCGGGGGAUUCCCUUCUGAGCGGCUGGGAUUCCGUACGCCGGGCUGACUGCUUUCCCUCCUCCUCCUGCUUCUCCUGGCGCUGAGCUGCGCGCGUUCCCGAGCUUGGAAAAGGCAGGGAAAGCCCGCAGGUGCCUGGCUGAAGGCCAGCGAAAUUGGUCUCACAAGUGAGUGAAUGGGAGAACUCAGAACUCGUCAGAAAUUACAUUUUAUAGCCCGGCCUUAGACUUUUUUUUGCAGAAGUAAGCACUGAUUUCAAUGAGACAUACAGUACUUCGAAUAAGUUUGAUCGGCGGUAUUAGCCAAGUAACUGAGACUGAGUCCCAUUGACCUCAGGGAUCUUAAUCAGACAUUAUAUGUAUAUGACAGCGCUGUAAAUAAGUCUUGUCUAGACUUGCCAGGUGUUAUGAAAAUGAAUGUAGCCUAGUAACUUUUGUUUCCAUUGCUGCAUUGCUAGGGGGUUGGACUAGAUGACCCUUGGUGUGUGCCUUCCAACUCUACAAUUCUAUGAUCCUUUGAAACAGAUAUGCAAUUAUUUACCCAAGACAAGAAGUGAUCCAAAUGGCAGCUGUUGUUGUUUAAAUUAUAAACAAAUAUUGUUCAAACAUACCCUUUUACAUUCCAGAAUAUACUUCCCCAGAUGAUGUGAACCUCUUCUUUCCUGUCCAUUGUAAUAUAAGUUAUUUUCUUUUUAUCCCGAAUGUUCUUCCAUAGGCAUUUUGUGCAGAGAAAAAGUGUUGUGACCAUAUUCCCUUGCAUUGAAUUUGGAAGUCUGGAGGAUACUGCAUUGAACAGGUCACGUUGAAAACCUUCAGAUAUUUUCAAAACAUUUGAUCAAAGCCAUGGAAAAGGGGAAUGCCAUGACUCAGGGAUCAUAGACCAUCUGCUAUGUGUUCAGGUCCCAGAUUUAAUCCCUGGCAUCUCUGGGUAGGGCUUGGAGAGUCUUUGGUCUAAAAUCCUGGAAAGCCGCAACCAAUGAAGGUGGACAUUAGUGAGCUAGGUGGACCAAUGGUCUGACUCAGCAUAAAGAAGCGCCCUUUCUUCCUAAAUCCAUGUGUGCAGUGGGGCCCCAGUCUGCUCUGGAGGGUUCCUUAACCCCCUAGAGCAGAUUUAGGGGGCACAUGGGAGGCUGAAGGAGGUAGGAAAAGAAGAAGCCCUGUUGUACAAAUAGAUGCCUGCUCACCAUAUGUUGCUCUACCACUCACACUUAGCUCAAAUAGGUGUAAUUUUGUUUGCCACAUUGAUUCUAUGCUACCUUUUCCUCAGCUUCCAGUCUUCCCCUCUUUUGGGAAUUUGUUGCCUUUUAUUCCCUCUGUUAUUACUUCCAUGAUUCUCAUUUACACUGUAAGCUCCUUGUGACCUGCCUUGUUUACUUAUGUUUCUUUGUAAGAUGUACGUUGAGGUUUUUUAUAAAUAAUAAUCUUUUUAAAAUCUUAGAGAAUUUCACAGAACUAUUCUUCAGGCAUUGUGUGUGAUGUGUAACCAUAGCACAUUUGUAGCCUAAACAAUGUCUUUUAAAGCAGCAAAGAAUGUAUUUUAAAAGCACCAGUCAACAGCAUUUCCUCAAGAUAUUAUCUAUCAAGAACAGAAGCAGCCAGAAUGAUUAAUGGUGAUUAUACUGAAGUGUUGGGGAGACUGGGGUUUGUUUUUAUUGUUCCAUAAGGCCUUGUUGUAAUCUUAAUUUCCUUUUGUAAUUUUUGAUAUCUACACCGUAUCUUUCUCUCUUUUUUACUGUAAAUCACCUUAAGAUUUUUCUGUAAGGCAUUGAACAUAUGAAAUAAAUAAUAGAGCUCAUUUUGAA
This is a non-coding RNA of Podarcis muralis (Common wall lizard), 1996 nucleotides long. NCBI's taxonomy places the organism in Eukaryota, Metazoa, Chordata, Lepidosauria, Squamata, Lacertidae. The record is from RefSeq and is a predicted model, not a curated record.